Pan troglodytes (chimpanzee) is the source of this 71-nucleotide non-coding RNA. The record is from the annotation of a RefSeq genome assembly. NCBI's taxonomy places the organism in Eukaryota, Metazoa, Chordata, Mammalia, Primates, Hominidae.
GCAGUGGUGGUUCAGGGGUAGAAUUAUCGCCUCCCACGUGGGAGACCCGGGUUCAAUUCCCGGCCAAUGCA